AGAUCAUUUUGGGGAAAAUUUUGAAGUAAUCCCUUGUAGCGCUCCCAUGCUUCAAAUAGCGACUCAUCCAUUUGUUGUUUAAAGUUAGAUAUGGCCUUCUUUAGUUU
Small nucleolar RNA from Lactuca sativa (garden lettuce), 107 nucleotides. The record is from RefSeq and is a predicted model, not a curated record. Lineage: Eukaryota; Viridiplantae; Streptophyta; Magnoliopsida; Asterales; Asteraceae.